UGCCAGUGAUAAACUGGAGGAAGGUGGGGAUGACGUCAAGUCAUCAUGGCCCUUACGACCAGGGCUACACACGUGCUACAAUGGCGCAUACAAAGAGAAGCGACCUCGCGAGAGCAAGCGGACCUCAUAAAGUGCGUCGUAGUCCGGAUUGGAGUCUGCAACUCGACUCCAUGAAGUCGGAAUCGCUAGUAAUCGUGGAUCAGAAUGCCACGGUGAAUACGUUCCCGGGCCUUGUACACACCGCCCGUCACACCAUGGGAGUGGGUUGCAAAAGAAGUAGGUAGCUUAACCUUCGGGAGGGCGCUUACCACUUUGUGAUUCAUGACUGGGGUGAAGUCGUAACAAGGUAACCGUAGGGGAACCUGCGGUUGGA
RNAcentral lists this ribosomal RNA (373 nucleotides) under Escherichia coli. Its description in RNAcentral is "bacterial SSU rRNA". It matches the Rfam family "Bacterial small subunit ribosomal RNA", at positions 1150 to 1522 of the family's 1533-position model. The record is from RNAcentral. RNAcentral also lists the same sequence under 41 other names. Lineage: Bacteria; Pseudomonadati; Pseudomonadota; Gammaproteobacteria; Enterobacterales; Enterobacteriaceae.